Non-coding RNA from Oryza nivara, 208 nucleotides. NCBI's taxonomy places the organism in Eukaryota, Viridiplantae, Streptophyta, Magnoliopsida, Poales, Poaceae. The record is from Rfam.
AAUACUUGUCGUUUUGAGUUUUUGUUUGUAAAAGUUUGAUCAUUCGUCUUAUUCGAAAGAUUAUAGAAUUAUUAUUUAUUUUGUUUGUGACUUGCUUUAUUAUCAAAUGUACUUUAAGUAUGAAUUAUCCUUUUUUAUAUUUGUACUAAUUUUUCAAAUAAGACGAAUGGUCAAACGUUGCAAGCAAAAAGUCAAAGUGACAUCUAUU